Molecule: ribosomal RNA, 301 nt
Filed under: uncultured bacterium
Lineage: Bacteria
Description: partial 16S ribosomal RNA
Rfam family: Bacterial small subunit ribosomal RNA
Source: RNAcentral
CAGCAGCCGCGGGAAUACGAAGGGUGCAAGCGUUAAUCGGAAUUACUGGGCGUAAAGCGUGCGUAGGCGGUUUGUUAAGUCUGCUGUGAAAUCCCCGGGCUCAACCUGGGAAUGGCAGUGGAUACUGGCAAGCUAGAGUGUGUCAGAGGAUGGUGGAAUUCCCGGUGUAGCGGUGAAAUGCGUAGAGAUCGGGAGGAACAUCAGUGGCGAAGGCGGCCAUCUGGGACAACACUGACGCUGAGGCACGAAAGCGUGGGGAGCAAACAGGAUUAGAGACCCCCGUAGUCCCUGUCUCUUAUAC